Molecule: long non-coding RNA, 513 nt
Organism: Brassica napus (rape)
Lineage: Eukaryota; Viridiplantae; Streptophyta; Magnoliopsida; Brassicales; Brassicaceae
Exons: 2
Source: RefSeq, a predicted model, not a curated record
AUUGGCAUGGGAUCUUGCUAUUGGGGGAAUAUACAGUCCCAGGUGCCAUAGGACGUUCAUCUAAUCUAAUAGCUCGUGCUAAUCUGAACAACAGAGGGGCAGGGCAAGUAAGCCUCCGCGUAAAUAGCUCUGAGCAGCUCCAACUUGCACUGGUCGCAUUGUUUCCUCUGUUCAAGAAGCUACUUAGUUAUUAUUCCCUCAGCAAAUGGAAUAUUGACAAUAAUGGAUCACUUCGGGUUUCAAUUCACUUACUACAAGAACAUCCUAGAUUGAGAGUUGAAAAGGAACCUUGGUGUGCCCUUUGGGUUGAAAACUUUAAGAACAAUUUGUUGGAGGAGGCCUCUGUUUUCUUUACAUAGCCAGAACAUUGUUCGUUCCUUGUCUAAUUUAAGCAUAGUUGUGGUUUUAUUCUCUUUCCAAAACCUUUGUAUGGCUUUCUGUUCAUGUCUACCUCUGGAUUUUUCAUAAAGCUUGUUAAAAUUAUGCUGCAAUCUACUUGUUGAUUUUAAGACA